This 458-nucleotide ribosomal RNA is filed under the name uncultured bacterium. RNAcentral describes it as "bacterial SSU rRNA". It matches the Rfam family "Bacterial small subunit ribosomal RNA", at positions 340 to 786 of the family's 1533-position model. The record is from RNAcentral.
UACGGGAGGCAGCAGUGGGGAAGUAUUGCACAAUGGGCGCAAGCCUGAUGCAGCCAUGCCGCGUGUAUGAAAAAGGCCUUCGGGUUGUAAAGUACUUUCUAGUCGUGAGGAAGGUGUUAAGGUUAAUAACCUUAGCAAUUGACGUUAGCGACAGAAGAAGCACCGGCUAACUCCGUGCCAGCAGCCGCGGUAAUACGGAGGGUGCGAGCGUUAAUCGGAAUUACUGGGCGUAAAGGGCACGCAGGCGGUUAAUUAAGUUGGAUGUGAAAUCCCCGGGCUUAACCUGGGAAUGGCAUUCAAGACUGGUUAGCUAGAGUCUUGUAGAGGGGGUAGAAUUCCAUGUGUAGCGGUGAAAUGCGUAGAGAUGUGGAGGAAUACCGGUGGCGAAAGGCGGCCCCCUGGACAAAAGACUGACGCUCAUGUGCGAAAAGCUGGGGAGCAAACAGGGAUUAGAUACC